UACGAAGGGGGCUAGCGUUGUUCGGAUUUACUGGGCGUAAAGCGUGCGCAGGCGGUUGUGUAGACAGAUGUGAAAUCCCCGGGCUCAACCUGGGAACUGCAUUUGUGACUGCACAGCUGGAGUGCGGCAGAGGGGGAUGGAAUUCCGCGUGUAGCAGUGAAAUGCGUAGAUAUGCGGAGGAACACCGAUGGCGAAGGCAAUCCCCUGGGCCUGCACUGACGCUCAUGCACGAAAGCGUGGGGAGCAAACAGG
Molecule: ribosomal RNA, 252 nt
Filed under: uncultured bacterium
Lineage: Bacteria
Description: partial 16S ribosomal RNA
Rfam family: Bacterial small subunit ribosomal RNA
Source: RNAcentral